AGCCUCCGGGAUCUGCAAGUCUGGAAAGGCCACGUUGUGGACCUUGGCGCAGAGGUUAUGGGGGCGACCCGGAGCGGAUGGUUUCAGGAAAACUAGAACCCACCCUCAUGGCCUGAACAACUGGAGAGAAGAGGAUCGCAGCAAUUUAAAGCCAGCGGCAAGGAUCACAGUCCUGGGGUCAGGUGACCAAAGCCAGUUUUUCAGCCCUUAACAAGAACCUGGCUUCACCCAGCCAAACAUGAGUUAACGUAUCCAUUUUACACACGAACAAACUGAGGCGCAGAGAUGAUCACAGCUUGUUGGUGGCAAACUCCGCUAGGGCCUUCUCUGCUACCCUAAGGAGGUCCGACCGUAUGUUUUGGACCCCUUAACUCGGGAUACCGAUAAACGAAAAUUAAUAGGGUGUUGGAUGUUUUAAAUGUGUGCGGGAAUGUCAUUAUAUUGGCUAGAAUCAAACCUUAUUUAGACUUGUUUUGCACUUUUGUACACUUUAGUAAUUUUUAGUUUUAAUCAUAAGGGAGUUAAAGGCGAACACAACUGGUAUUUUUUUUUUUUUUUUUUUUUUUUUGAGACAGGGUCUCGCUCGGUCACCCAGGCUGGAGUGUAAUGCUGCGAUCUCGGCUCACUGCAACGUCCGCCUCCCGGGUUCAAGAGAUUCUCCUGCCUCAGCCUCCCGAAUAGCUGGGCGUGCCACCACGCCCGGCUGAUUUUUGUAUUUUUAGUAGAGACGGGGUUUCACCAUGUUGGCCAGGUUGGUCUCGAACUCCU
RNAcentral lists this long non-coding RNA (768 nucleotides) under Homo sapiens (human). RNAcentral's name for it is "non-protein coding lnc-SNRPB2-2:3". The record is from RNAcentral. Lineage: Eukaryota; Metazoa; Chordata; Mammalia; Primates; Hominidae.